RNAcentral lists this long non-coding RNA (2847 nucleotides) under Hordeum vulgare. Its description in RNAcentral is "long non-coding RNA (HVUL_LNC011628)". The record is from RNAcentral. Lineage: Eukaryota; Viridiplantae; Streptophyta; Magnoliopsida; Poales; Poaceae.
CACCUUUGCCACCAAGUAGGUAUGAUAAAAAACCACUAACUCUGCGCCUUUCCCACCAUUGCCACGGUUGCCACGGUUGCCACCGUUGCCACCAUUGCCACCAUUGCCACCAAGUAGGUAUGAUAAAAAACCACUAACUCUGCGCCUUUCCCACCAUUGCCACGGUUGCCAUCGUUGCCACCAAGUAGGUAUGAUAAAAAACCACUAACUCUGCGCCUUUCCCACCAUUGCCACGGUUGCCAUCGUUGCCACCAAGUAGGUAUGAUAAAAAACCACUAACUCUGCGCCUUUCCCACCAUUGCCACGGUUGCCAUCGUUGCCACCAAGUAGGUAUGAUAAAAAACCACUAACUCUGCGCCUUUCCCACCAUUGCCACGGUUGCCAUCGUUGCCACCAAGUAGGUAUGAUAAAAAACCACUAACUCUGCGCCUUUCCCACCAUUGCCACGGUUGCCAUCGUUGCCACCAAGUAGGUAUGAUAAAAAACCACUAACUCUGCGCCUUUCCCACCAUUGCCACGGUUGCCAUCGUUGCCACCAAGUAGGUAUGAUAAAAAACCACUAACUCUGCGCCUUUCCCACCAUUGCCACGGUUGCCAUCGUUGCCACCAAGUAGGUAUGAUAAAAAACCACUAACUCUGCGCCUUUCCCACCAUUGCCACGGUUGCCAUCGUUGCCACCAAGUAGGUAUGAUAAAAAACCACUAACUCUGCGCCUUUCCCACCAUUGCCACGGUUGCCAUCGUUGCCACCAAGUAGGUAUGAUAAAAAACCACUAACUCUGCGCCUUUCCCACCAUUGCCACGGUUGCCAUCGUUGCCACCAAGUAGGUAUGAUAAAAAACCACUAACUCUGCGCCUUUCCCACCAUUGCCACGGUUGCCAUCGUUGCCACCAAGUAGGUAUGAUAAAAAACCACUAACUCUGCGCCUUUCCCACCAUUGCCACGGUUGCCAUCGUUGCCACCAAGUAGGUAUGAUAAAAAACCACUAACUCUGCGCCUUUCCCACCAUUGCCACGGUUGCCAUCGUUGCCACCAAGUAGGUAUGAUAAAAAACCACUAACUCUGCGCCUUUCCCACCAUUGCCACGGUUGCCAUCGUUGCCACCAAGUAGGUAUGAUAAAAAACCACUAACUCUGCGCCUUUCCCACCAUUGCCACGGUUGCCAUCGUUGCCACCAAGUAGGUAUGAUAAAAAACCACUAACUCUGCGCCUUUCCCACCAUUGCCACGGUUGCCAUCGUUGCCACCAAGUAGGUAUGAUAAAAAACCACUAACUCUGCGCCUUUCCCACCAUUGCCACGGUUGCCAUCGUUGCCACCAAGUAGGUAUGAUAAAAAACCACUAACUCUGCGCCUUUCCCACCAUUGCCACGGUUGCCAUCGUUGCCACCAAGUAGGUAUGAUAAAAAACCACUAACUCUGCGCCUUUCCCACCAUUGCCACGGUUGCCAUCGUUGCCACCAAGUAGGUAUGAUAAAAAACCACUAACUCUGCGCCUUUCCCACCAUUGCCACGGUUGCCAUCGUUGCCACCAAGUAGGUAUGAUAAAAAACCACUAACUCUGCGCCUUUCCCACCAUUGCCACGGUUGCCAUCGUUGCCACCAAGUAGGUAUGAUAAAAAACCACUAACUCUGCGCCUUUCCCACCAUUGCCACGGUUGCCAUCGUUGCCACCAAGUAGGUAUGAUAAAAAACCACUAACUCUGCGCCUUUCCCACCAUUGCCACGGUUGCCAUCGUUGCCACCAAGUAGGUAUGAUAAAAAACCACUAACUCUGCGCCUUUCCCACCAUUGCCACGGUUGCCAUCGUUGCCACCAAGUAGGUAUGAUAAAAAACCACUAACUCUGCGCCUUUCCCACCAUUGCCACGGUUGCCAUCGUUGCCACCAAGUAGGUAUGAUAAAAAACCACUAACUCUGCGCCUUUCCCACCAUUGCCACGGUUGCCAUCGUUGCCACCAAGUAGGUAUGAUAAAAAACCACUAACUCUGCGCCUUUCCCACCAUUGCCACGGUUGCCAUCGUUGCCACCAAGUAGGUAUGAUAAAAAACCACUAACUCUGCGCCUUUCCCACCAUUGCCACGGUUGCCAUCGUUGCCACCAAGUAGGUAUGAUAAAAAACCACUAACUCUGCGCCUUUCCCACCAUUGCCACGGUUGCCAUCGUUGCCACCAAGUAGGUAUGAUAAAAAACCACUAACUCUGCGCCUUUCCCACCAUUGCCACGGUUGCCAUCGUUGCCACCAAGUAGGUAUGAUAAAAAACCACUAACUCUGCGCCUUUCCCACCAUUGCCACGGUUGCCAUCGUUGCCACCAAGUAGGUAUGAUAAAAAACCACUAACUCUGCGCCUUUCCCACCAUUGCCACGGUUGCCAUCGUUGCCACCAAGUAGGUAUGAUAAAAAACCACUAACUCUGCGCCUUUCCCACCAUUGCCACGGUUGCCAUCGUUGCCACCAAGUAGGUAUGAUAAAAAACCACUAACUCUGCGCCUUUCCCACCAUUGCCACGGUUGCCAUCGUUGCCACCAAGUAGGUAUGAUAAAAAACCACUAACUCUGCGACUUUCCCACCAUUGCCACGGUUGCCACCGUUGCCACCGUUGCCACGGUUGCCACCAUUGCCACCAAGUAGGUAUGAUAAAAAACCACUAACUCUGCGACUUUCCCACCAUUGCCACGGUUGCCACGAUUGCCACCAUUGCCACGGUUGCCACCAUUGCCACGGUGGCCAUAUUCAUCAUCCCGGCGAUCUCCAUGAUGAGGAGGGAGUAGUUCUCCAUCGGGGCUGAGGGUAUGUACCAGUAGCUAUGUGUUUGAUCUCUCCCUGUCUCUCGUGUUCUUGAGAUGUCU